Molecule: ribosomal RNA, 1424 nt
Filed under: metagenome
Description: bacterial SSU rRNA
Rfam family: Bacterial small subunit ribosomal RNA
Source: RNAcentral
CCCUGCUACUGGACCUAGCGGCGGACGGGUGAGUAAUGCUUAGGAAUCUGCCUAUUAGUGGGGGACAACAUCUCGCAAGGGAUGCUAAUACCGCAUACGUCCUACGGGAGAAAGCAGGGGAUCUUCGGACCUUGCGCUAGUAGAUGAGCCUAAGUCGGAUUAGCUAGUUGGUGGGGUAAAGGCCUACCAAGGCGACGAUCUGUAGCGGGUCUGAGAGGAUGAUCCGCCACACUGGGACUGAGACACGGCCCAGACUCCUACGGGAGGCAGCAGUGGGGAAUAUUGGACAAUGGGGGGAACCCUGAUCCAGCCAUGCCGCGUGUGUGAAGAAGGCCUUAUGGUUGUAAAGCACUUUAAGCGAGGAGGAGGCUGCUUUAGUUAAUACCUAGAGAUAGUGGACGUUACUCGCAGAAUAAGCACCGGCUAACUCUGUGCCAGCAGCCGCGGUAAUACAGAGGGUGCGAGCGUUAAUCGGAUUUACUGGGCGUAAAGCGUGCGUAGGCGGCUUAUUAAGUCGGAUGUGAAAUCCCCGAGCUUAACUUGGGAAUUGCAUUCGAUACUGGUGAGCUAGAGUAUGGGAGAGGAUGGUAGAAUUCCAGGUGUAGCGGUGAAAUGCGUAGAGAUCUGGAGGAAUACCGAUGGCGAAGGCAGCCAUCUGGCCUAAUACUGACGCUGAGGUACGAAAGCAUGGGGAGCAAACAGGAUUAGAUACCCUGGUAGUCCAUGCCGUAAACGAUGUCUACUAGCCGUUGGGGCCUUUGAGGCUUUAGUGGCGCAGCUAACGCGAUAAGUAGACCGCCUGGGGAGUACGGUCGCAAGACUAAAACUCAAAUGAAUUGACGGGGGCCCGCACAAGCGGUGGAGCAUGUAGUUUAAUUCGAUGCAACGCGAAGAACCUUACCUGGCCUUGACAUACUAGAAACUUUCCAGAGAUGGAUUGGUGCCUUCGGGAAUCUAGAUACAGGUGCUGCAUGGCUGUCGUCAGCUCGUGUCGUGAGAUGUUGGGUUAAGUCCCGCAACGAGCGCAACCCAUUUCCUUACUUGCCAGCAUUUCGGAUGGGAACUUUAAGGAUACUGCCAGUGACAAACUGGAGGAAGGCGGGGACGACGUCAAGUCAUCAUGGCCCUUACGGCCAGGGCUACACACGUGCUACAAUGGUCGGUACAAAGGGUUGCUACACAGCGAUGUGAUGCUAAUCUCAAAAAGCCGAUCGUAGUCCGGAUUGGAGUCUGCAACUCGACUCCAUGAAGUCGGAAUCGAUAGUAAUCGCGGAUCAGAAUGCCGCGGUGAAUACGUUCCCGGGCCUUGUACACACCGCCCGUCACACCAUGGGAGUUUGUUGCACCAGAAGUAGCUAGCCUAACUGCAAAGAGGGCGGUUACCACGGUGUGGCCGAUGACUGGGGUGAAGUCGUAACAAGGUA